CCCUAGUGGCGGACGGGUGAGUAACGCGUGGGUAACCUGCCAUAUACAGGGGGAUAACACUUAGAAAUAGGUGCUAAUACCGCAUAAGCGCACAGGGGCGCAUGCCCCGGUGUGAAAAACUCCGGUGGUACAGGAUGGACCCGCGUCUGAUUAGCUGGUUGGCGGGGUAACGGCCCACCAAGGCGACGAUCAGUAGCCGGCCUGAGAGGGUGAACGGCCACAUUGGGACUGAGACACGGCCCAAACUCCUACGGAAGGCAGCAG
RNAcentral lists this ribosomal RNA (264 nucleotides) under uncultured bacterium. RNAcentral describes it as "partial 16S ribosomal RNA". It matches the Rfam family "Bacterial small subunit ribosomal RNA", at positions 90 to 354 of the family's 1533-position model. The record is from RNAcentral.